AGAGUUUGAUCAUGGCUCAGAAUCAACGCUGGCGGCGUGCCUAACACAUGCAAGUCGAACGCGAAAGGGGCUUCGGCCCUGAGUAGAGUGGCGAACGGGUGAGUAACGCGUGGGUGACCUACCCUUGAGUGGGGGAUAACGUUCCGAAAGGGACGCUAAUACCGCAUGACAUUCCGGGUUCGAAGACCUGGAAAUCAAAGCCGGGGACCGCAAGGCCUGGCGCUCGAGGAGGGGCCCGCGUCUGAUUAGCUAGUUGGCGGGGUAAUGGCCCACCAAGGCGACGAUCAGUAGCCGGCCUGAGAGGGCGGACGGCCACACUGGGACUGAGACACGGCCCAGACUCCUACGGGAGGCAGCAGUGGGGAAUUGUUCGCAAUGGGCGCAAGCCUGACGACGCAACGCCGCGUGGAGGAUGAAGGUCUUCGGAUUGUAAACUCCUGUUGAUCGGGACGAAAAGCUUCGACCUAACACGUCGAGGACUGACGGUACCG
Molecule: ribosomal RNA, 491 nt
Filed under: uncultured Acidobacteriaceae bacterium
Lineage: Bacteria; Pseudomonadati; Acidobacteriota; Terriglobia; Terriglobales; Acidobacteriaceae
Description: bacterial SSU rRNA
Rfam family: Bacterial small subunit ribosomal RNA
Source: RNAcentral